GAACAACAUUUCCUGAUUAGAAAACACUGUUUGGUGUUUAUCAGACAAACGCCCACAUAACAAGCAGGUCUGGCCCGGAUCUGGUAUCAAGCCGGCACUGCUGGCUGACUUCCAUAAGACGUAUGUGAUCCAGAUACAGGCCAGGCCUGGCAUAGAUGCCACUGUUUAUGUGACUGCAUGCCAUAUCUGGCCUGAUUGUGCUUUGGGUUAUGUGGCCCAGGCUCAUAGAAAACAGGUCUUGGGAGGAGGAAGUCAUCAGAUCUAGGUCUACAUAUUUCUGUUAUAGAAGUGCAGCUCCUUCAGAGAUGGGACAAAGAGGAGGUCACCAGCCUGCUGAGGCCAAGUUCGAUUUGAUUUUCCAGUCAACGCUGAGAGACUUUGACCAGGAAGUCAGAGGUCAGCUCAUGCUGCGAGCAGGAAAUGAAUCAAGGAAGAAGGAUCGCUCUACUCAAUCUCAAAGAAAAUCUCCUGAGAGGGAAACGUUGUAUUUUCUGCCUCUCUUCCUCACAGUAAAGACAUUUGUAUUGCACUCCUGCAAAGAAGAUUCUGCAGGUAAACUGUUGAUGGGACAAUAAACAAAUUUCACUUUGCAAAAUGUUCUGCAGGGAGGUUGUGCUUGCUUCUUAGACUACCACGACCUGGAUGAUUGAGAACCUACACAGACACGUUCUGAAGGAAGAGCUCCACACUUAUUGGACUGAUUUAACUGUGUUCAUUGUCAUCUAGCAAGUUUUGCUUUAAUGUGUCUCUAUCGACAACACAAAGCAUUUUUUUCACUAUUUAUAAAACAUAGAAGUCUUAAAAUAUAUCUGCAGUGCUUGGUGUAAAUUCAGUGAUUCAAGCCGCAGUUGGUUGGAGUCCAACAGUCUGCAGUGGCCUCCACAGUCCACCGUCUUCACAUCACAAGGACAGUUUCCACAUGUCUGUGACGUCUCCUUGCUCUUGUACUUAUGCCUUGAUGAACAAGUUUGUUUCAUGAAUAUUUCUCAGACAGAAGAAGGUGAUAUUCCAACGGACCUGAAAAGGAGAGCCAUCAAUGCCUUACAUUUGAAGAGCAGAGCAGCUGAAGAAAAGCUGUGACUCCAACGUGAGAUGGACGCUGUGAUUCAUCACCAGCAACACACUGACCUGCUUUCAUCCAUAGAUGA
Molecule: long non-coding RNA, 1148 nt
Organism: Pelmatolapia mariae (spotted tilapia)
Lineage: Eukaryota; Metazoa; Chordata; Actinopteri; Cichliformes; Cichlidae
Exons: 3
Source: RefSeq, a predicted model, not a curated record